CGCACGGGUGAGUAGCGCGUGGGAACCUGCCCUGGAGUGGGGGAUAACCGAGGGAAACUUCGGCUAAUACCGCAUGCGCCCGGUGAGUGAUCACCGGGGAAAGAUUUAUCGCUCUAGGAGGGGCCCGCGUCGGAUUAGCUAGUUGGUGGGGUAACGGCCUACCAAGGCAGUGAUCCGUAGCUGGUCUGAGAGGAUGAUCAGCCACACUGGGACUGAGACACGGCCCAG
This 228-nucleotide ribosomal RNA is filed under the name uncultured bacterium. Its description in RNAcentral is "partial 16S ribosomal RNA". It matches the Rfam family "Bacterial small subunit ribosomal RNA", at positions 99 to 334 of the family's 1533-position model. The record is from RNAcentral.